AUUGAACGCUGGCGGCAUGCUUUACACAUGCAAGUCGAACGGUAACAGGCCGCAAGGUGCUGACGAGUGGCGAACGGGUGAGUAAUGCAUCGGAACGUGCCCAGUCGUGGGGGAUAACUACUCGAAAGAGUAGCUAAUACCGCAUACGAUCUAUGGAUGAAAGCGGGGGACCGUAAGGCCUCGCGCGAUUGGAGCGGCCGAUGUCAGAUUAGGUAGUUGGUGGGGUAAAGGCUCACCAAGCCAACGAUCUGUAGCCGGCCGGAGAGGACAACCAGCCACACGGGAACUGACACACGGACCCGAGUCCGACGGCAGGCAGCAGUACGGAAUCCUGCGCAAUGCGUGAGAGCGUGACGGAGCAACGCCGCGUGAAUGAUGAAGGUCUUCGGAUCGGAGAGCUCUGUUAGUAGGGAAGAAAAAACGUGUAAGGAACGGGGCACGGCGCGACGUGACCUAAUCAGAAAGCCACGGCGAACUACGUG
RNAcentral lists this ribosomal RNA (482 nucleotides) under uncultured bacterium. RNAcentral describes it as "partial 16S ribosomal RNA". It matches the Rfam family "Bacterial small subunit ribosomal RNA", at positions 29 to 507 of the family's 1533-position model. The record is from RNAcentral.